CGCGCCGCUGCUCCGUGCGGCCCGCUCCCGGGAGCCGGAGCCCGGGCCUGGGCACUUGGCUCAGACCGGCGGCCGAGUGCGCGGCCGGCCUUCGGGGGGCCGGGGCCGCCUGGAGCUCGCCCGUUAGAAUUCCUCCAACUCGCCGAAGCCUUUUGGUGAAAGAGCGCUCGUUGCGUCGGAGGUUCUGCAUGUGAAUAAAGGCACCGGGUGUGCUACGCGAAGCAGCGACGAAUUGGAUUUUAUAGACCGCGGCGGGCACAGUACGGGCAUUGGCAUAUUGGAAAGGGGGAGAGUCAAGUAUAUCGCCCCAAAUUAAGCUUUACUGGAAGGGUGGCGGUUGAUACUCGGGUGGGAUUUUCCCCCCUGCUCUAAAUUCCUUAUAAGGCAGCACUCAUUUAACGAAAAGAUUGUAAAAAAGUAAAUACAUUUUUGCAUAGAAGAAAAAGGUAAAAGAGGAAACAAGCCAGAAGAGAGAAGAUCCCACCAAACACCAGUAUCAAAAAAGUAACCGACUGAUUUGGUAUCCCACAAGUUCACGUUAUUGCUGGGCCUAAUGAAGAGAAGAGAAGGAGAGAGAGAGAGAGCACACAAAAGCAGGGGAGCUGCAAGUGGAAGGAGCAGGUUCCCUGCCAAAUAAGGAACAUGAUGUGGGGAGUCAAUCCCAGGACUCUGGGGUCAUGAUUGGAGCUAAAGGCAGAUGCUUAACCAGAAAUUGACAAGUUGACACUGGAAUUAAUAUGGAAUAACACUCUUGUUAUUCCCCCAACAGUCUUAAAAAAGAACAAAUCUGGAGGACUCAUUGUAGUAAAUUUAAAACUUACUACAGGGGCACCUAGGUGGUUAAGUUAGUUAAGUUGCCACCUCUUGAUUUUGGCUCAGGUCAUGAUCUCAGGGCUGUGAGAUCAAGCCCCCAUUGGACUU
Molecule: long non-coding RNA, 921 nt
Organism: Mustela erminea (ermine)
Lineage: Eukaryota; Metazoa; Chordata; Mammalia; Carnivora; Mustelidae
Exons: 4
Source: RefSeq, a predicted model, not a curated record